This 109-nucleotide non-coding RNA is filed under the name Lysinibacillus sphaericus. RNAcentral's name for it is "Lysinibacillus sp. SAM-I sequence". It matches the Rfam family "SAM riboswitch aptamer (S box leader)". From Rfam's summary of the family: The SAM riboswitch is found upstream of a number of genes which code for proteins involved in methionine or cysteine biosynthesis in Gram-positive bacteria. The SAM riboswitch acts at the level of transcription termination control. The predicted structure consists of a complex stem-loop region followed by a single stem loop terminator region. Lineage: Bacteria; Bacillati; Bacillota; Bacilli; Caryophanales; Bacillaceae. The record is from RNAcentral.
UUCUUAUCCAGAGAGACUGAGGGACAGGCCCAAUGAAGUCUCGGCAGCGGGUUAUUAACAUAAUACCGUGCCAAUUCCUGCAAAUGUACUUACAUUUGAAAGAUGAGAA